GGAAAAUCCGUCGACUUGAAAAAUCGUGAGGGUUCAAGUCCC
Molecule: transfer RNA, 42 nt
Filed under: Piper sp. SING-2015-073
Lineage: Eukaryota; Viridiplantae; Streptophyta; Magnoliopsida; Piperales; Piperaceae
Description: tRNA-Leu
Source: RNAcentral